AACAUUGUGUGUCUGCUCUUAUAAAAAGGAGACAUUCGCCUUAGUCUGACAUCAGUCUCAUCUGGAACCAAGCUGGUGGCACAGACGCGACCUCUCUUCAUCACCUGGUGAACGUGAACCUCAAGCUAUGGCUAAUAAGGAUUGUGAUCAAGAAUUCUGUGAGGAGCUGAAGAAGUUCUUUGACAGCCGUGGCGGGAGUGUCAAAGUGCGGGAGCUCAAGGAGUGGUUGGCCGAAAAUUGCAAAGGCCGCAAGAACGAAGGUGGAAUCAGAGGGCUCUUUCCGUGCAUGGAGCAAAAAGCCGACCAAGAUAUCACAUUUGAGGAGUUUAAGAAAUGCUGGGAGGAGAAGAAAGGCAAGGGAUGUUCCUAAACAAAACCCUCAAGAAUGACCAUCAAAAUGUGUAAUAGAAUAAGAUAAUAAUAAUAAUAGUAAAGAGUACACUGACAGCAGAAGCCAUCUGUGCCUCCACUGAAACCUGAUUGAGUUUGAAAAUUGGUUUUGAAAGAUGUGUCCAUGCAAUAUUGGCUGAGAAAAAAUAAAAAGCAUGCCUUUGA
This is a long non-coding RNA of Acanthopagrus latus (yellowfin seabream), 555 nucleotides long. RefSeq lists it as uncharacterized. The record is from RefSeq and is a predicted model, not a curated record. The transcript has 3 exons. Lineage: Eukaryota; Metazoa; Chordata; Actinopteri; Spariformes; Sparidae.